GAUGAAGAACGCAGCGAAAUGCGAUAAGUAAUGUGAAUUGCAGAAUUCAGUGAAUCAUCGAAUCUUUGAACGCACAUUGCGCCCGCCAGUAUUCUGGCGGGCAUGCCUGUUCGAGCGUCAUUUCAACCAUCAAGCCCCAGGCUUGUGUUGGGGACCUGUGGCUGCCGCAGGCCCUGAAAACCAGUGGCGGGCUCGCUGUCACACCGGGCGUAGUAGAUUUUAUCUCGCUCAGGGCGUGCUGCGGGUUCCGGCCGUUAAAAAGCCUUUUUUACCCAAGGUUGACCUCGGAUCAGGUAGGAAGACCCGCUGAACUUAAGCAUAUCAAUAAGCGGAGGA
This 336-nucleotide unclassified non-coding RNA is filed under the name soil metagenome. RNAcentral describes it as "partial contains 5.8S ribosomal RNA, internal transcribed spacer 2, and large subunit ribosomal RNA". The stretch from base 1 to 120 matches the Rfam family "5.8S ribosomal RNA", at positions 35 to 154 of the family's 154-position model. The record is from RNAcentral.